UUCAUAGUUAAAGUUUAAUUGGAACCAUGAAGUUUCUUUGUUUUAUUGUAGUUAUUGCUUUGGCAAUUGUUGCUAAUUUAAAUGGUUCAAACGCAUGUCAACGAAAAUGCAGUCAAAUAUUUAAGCCCGUUUGUGUGGAAGAUAUUGAUGGUAAAUCAUUUUGGUUCGUCAAUCGAUGUGAAUUUGAAAAAGAGAUCGCUUGUGGAAAAACUGUAAUGGAUGAAGUACCAUGUCAUAUGUUUGAAGACAAUUAAACAAAGUCAUGGAUAAUUGUCGGGAAGAGUUCAUUAUGCUGCUGAUACAAAUAAUGAUACUAAAUAAAAGAAGAACAAAUACUUGCCUCCAUCGUCUUUUGAAAACCAAUAUUUUGUGAAUUUAGAAUUAUCAAAAUCAAAUACAGAAUUUAAGGAUUAA
Long non-coding RNA from Eupeodes corollae, 414 nucleotides. RefSeq lists it as uncharacterized. The transcript has 2 exons. The record is from RefSeq and is a predicted model, not a curated record. Lineage: Eukaryota; Metazoa; Arthropoda; Insecta; Diptera; Syrphidae.